RNAcentral lists this ribosomal RNA (468 nucleotides) under uncultured bacterium. RNAcentral's name for it is "partial 16S ribosomal RNA". It matches the Rfam family "Bacterial small subunit ribosomal RNA", at positions 28 to 507 of the family's 1533-position model. The record is from RNAcentral.
GACGAACGCUGGCGGCGUGCUUAACACAUGCAAGUCGAACGGAAAGGCCCUGCUUUUGUGUGGUGCUCGCGUGGCGAACGGGUGAGUAACACGUGAGUAACCUGCCCUUGACUUUGGGAUAACUUCAGGAAACUGGGGCUACUACCGGAUAGGUGCUCCUGCUGCUUGGUGGGGGUUGGAACGUUUCGGCGGAUGGGGAUGGACUGGCGGCUUAUCAGCUUGUUGGUGGGGUAGUGGCUUACCCAGGCUUUGACGGGUAGCCGGCCUGAGAGGGUGACCGGCCACAUUGGGACUGAGAUACGGCCCAGACUGCUACGGGAGGCAGAAGUGGGGAAUAUUGCACAAUGGGCGGAAGCCUGAUGCAGCAACGCCGCGUGCGGGAUGACGGCCUUCGGGUUGUAAACCGCUUUCGCCUAUGACGAAGCGUGAGUGACGGUAAUGGGUAAAGAAGCACCGGCUAACUACGUG